Molecule: ribosomal RNA, 254 nt
Filed under: uncultured bacterium
Lineage: Bacteria
Description: partial 16S ribosomal RNA
Rfam family: Bacterial small subunit ribosomal RNA
Source: RNAcentral
UACGGGGGGGGCAAGCGUUGUUCGGAUUUACUGGGCGUAAAGGGCGCGUAGGCGGUCAGCACAAGUCAGUUGUGAAAUCUCCGGGCUUAACUCGGAAAGGUCAACUGAUACUGUGCGACUAGAGUGCGGAAGGGGCAACUGGAAUUCUUGGUGUAGCGGUGAAAUGCGUAGAUAUCAAGAGGAACACCUGCGGCGAAGGCGGGUUGCUGGGCCGACACUGACGCUGAGGCGCGAAAGCCAGGGGAGCGAACGGG